Molecule: transfer RNA, 73 nt
Filed under: Candidatus Vidania fulgoroideorum
Lineage: Bacteria; Pseudomonadati; Pseudomonadota; Betaproteobacteria
Description: tRNA-Arg
Rfam family: tRNA
About the family: Transfer RNA (tRNA) molecules are approximately 80 nucleotides in length. Their secondary structure includes four short double-helical elements and three loops (D, anti-codon, and T loops).
Source: RNAcentral
GUUGCCAUAACUUAAAGGAUAAAGUUUUUGUUUACGAAACAAAACUAUGUAGGUUCGAAUCCUACUGGCUACU